AACGAACGCUGGCGGCAGGCUUAACACAUGCAAGUCGAACGCGUGUAGCAAUACACGAGUGGCGCACGGGUGAGUAACACGUGGAUUAUCUGCCUUUUGGUUCGGAAUAACCCCGGGAAACUGGGGCUAAUACCGGAUGGUUCCUACGGGAUAAAGAUUUAUCGCCAAAAGAUGAGUCCGCGUCCGAUUAGCUAGUUGGCGGGGUAAUGGCCCACCAAGGCUACGAUCGGUAGCUGGUCUGAGAGGACGAUCAGCCACACUGGGACUGAGACACGGCCCAGACUCCUACGGGAGGCAGCAGUGGGGAAUAUUGGACAAUGGGGGCAACCCUGAUCCAGCCAUGCCGCGUGAGUGAUGAAGGCCUUCGGGUUGUAAAGCUCUUUUGGCGGGGACGAUGAUGACGG
Molecule: ribosomal RNA, 404 nt
Filed under: alpha proteobacterium Ellin7102
Lineage: Bacteria; Pseudomonadati; Pseudomonadota; Alphaproteobacteria
Description: bacterial SSU rRNA
Rfam family: Bacterial small subunit ribosomal RNA
Source: RNAcentral